RNAcentral lists this unclassified non-coding RNA (391 nucleotides) under soil metagenome. RNAcentral describes it as "partial contains 5.8S ribosomal RNA, internal transcribed spacer 2, and large subunit ribosomal RNA". The stretch from base 1 to 122 matches the Rfam family "5.8S ribosomal RNA", at positions 35 to 154 of the family's 154-position model. The record is from RNAcentral.
GAUGAAGAACGUAGCGAAAUGCGAUACUUGGUGUGAAUUGCAGAAUCCCGUGAACCAUCGAGUCUUUGAACGCAAGUUGCGCCCGAAGCCAUUAGGCCGAGGGCACGCCUGCCUGGGCGUCACACGUCGUUGCCCCCCCAUCUACUCCUUCGGGAUUGCGGGGGGCGGAUGAUGGCCUCCCGUGUGCCUCGCCGCGCGGUUGGCAUAAAUGCCAAGUCCUCGGCGACGCACGCCACGACAAUCGGUGGUUGCGAAACCUCGGUUGCCCGUCGUGUGCGGUCGUCGCGCAUCGAGGGCUCGAAAAAAUUGCCGGGUUCCGGCUCGGCUUUCAACGCGACCCCAGGUCAGGCGGGGUUACCCGCUGAGUUUAAGCAUAUCAAUAAGCGGAGGA